Molecule: ribosomal RNA, 433 nt
Filed under: uncultured bacterium
Lineage: Bacteria
Description: partial 16S ribosomal RNA
Rfam family: Bacterial small subunit ribosomal RNA
Source: RNAcentral
AACGAACGCUGGCGGCAUGCCUAACACAUGCAAGUCGAACGAGACCUUCGGGUCUAGUGGCGCACGGGUGCGUAACGCGUGGGAACCUGCCCUUAGGUUCGGAAUAACUCCCCGAAAGGGGUGCUAAUACCGGAUAAUGUCUUCGGACCAAAGAUUUAUCGACUUUGGAUGGGCCCGCGUUGGAUUAGCUAGUUGGUAGGGUAAAAGCCUACCAAGGCGACGAUUCAUAGCUGGUCUGAGAGGAUGAUCAGCCACACUGGGACUGAGACACGGCCCAGACUCCUACGGGAGGCAGCAGUGGGGAAUAUUGGACAAUGGGCGAAAGCCUGAUCCAGCAAUGCCGCGUGAGUGAUGAAGGCCUUAGGGUUGUAAAGCUCUUUUACCCGGGAUGAUAAUGACAGUACCGGGAGAAUAAGCUCCGGCUAACUCCGUG